CAAGGAUUCCCCUAGUAACUGCGAGUGAAGCGGGAAAAGCUCAAAUUUAAAAUCUGGCAGUCUUUGAUUGUCCGAGUUGUAAUCUAGAGAAGUGUUAUCCGCGCUGGACCGUGUAAAAGUCUCCUGGAAUGGAGCAUCAUAGAGGGUGAGAAUCCCGUCUUUGACAUGGACUACCAGUGCUUUGUGAUGCGCUCUCAAAGAGUCGAGUUGUUUGGGAAUGCAGCUCAAAAUGGGUGGUAAAUUCCAUCUAAAGCUAAAUAUUGGCGAGAGACCGAUAGCGAACAAGUACCGUGAGGGAAAGAUGAAAAGAACUUUGGAAAGAGAGUUAAACAGUACGUGAAAUUGCUGAAAGGGAAACGCUUGAAGUCAGUCGCGUUGGCCAGGAAUCAACCUUGCUUUUGCUGGGCGUACUUUCUGGUUGACGGGUCAGCAUCAAUUUUGACUGCUGGAGAAAGUUCAAGGGAAUGUGGCAUCUUCGGGUGUGUUAUAGCCCUUGUUCGCAUACAGCAGUUGGGAUUGAGGAACUCAGCACGCCGCAAGGCCGGGUUUCGACCACGUUCGUGCUUAGGAUGCUGGCAUAAUGGCUUUAAUCGACCCGUCUUGAAACACGGACCAAGGAGUCUAACAUGCCUGCGAGUGUUUGGGUGGAAAACCCAAGCGCGCAAUGAAAGUAAAAGUUGAGAUCCCUGUCGUGGGGAGCAUCGACGCCCGGACCAGACCUUUUGUGACGGAUCUGCGGUAGAGCAUGUAUGUUGGGACCCGAAAGAUGGUGAACUAUGCCUGAAUAGGGUGAAGCCAGAGGAAACUCUGGUGGAGGCUCGUAGCGAUUCUGACGUGCAAAUCGAUCGUCAAAUUUGGGUAUAGGGGCGAAAGACUAAUCGAACCAUC
RNAcentral lists this ribosomal RNA (888 nucleotides) under Bolbitius coprophilus. RNAcentral describes it as "eukaryotic LSU rRNA". It matches the Rfam family "Eukaryotic large subunit ribosomal RNA", at positions 69 to 944 of the family's 3401-position model. Lineage: Eukaryota; Fungi; Basidiomycota; Agaricomycetes; Agaricales; Bolbitiaceae. The record is from RNAcentral.